AAAUAAUGAGAUUGUUUUCCAAAACAAUUUUCAACUAAAAAAAUUUUAAUUUUCAAAAUAAAUUUUUUUAUUUGAACAUUGAACAAAAUAAAAAAAAUUAUGACGACUUUAUUGGCUGUUUUAACUUUUAAAAGGAAAAAAAUUAGUUAAAAAAGAGCAAUGCUUGUUGGUUGUUCAUCCUCUAAAUAUAGAAUAGUUGCAACAAAGGAAUAUUGUUCAUCAUGAACAUUUGUUUUCCACUUCAGCGUACCCAAGACUGUUUCUCGGCGGUGAUGAAGACGCAGAUGAAGGGAAACUCUUGAUUACAUUUUCAAUCGCACUUAAUACAGGUAAAGAAAUUAAAUGAAGAGUCAUAGUAAAUUCGAGUUUUGUUAACAUCACAGUGACUGAAGCAAAAGUCGGGAAAAAGUCUAUUAGGAAGAGAAAACAAAAAGGCUUUUCUGAAGGUCAGAUUUUUUUCAAGGUCAAAUAUUUUUUGGUAUAGGAUUGAGAAUUGUAUGUGCUAAAUUAGAUUGUUUUUUACCAAUUGAUUUUAAGAUCAGUGGAGGGGUUUAGCGUCUUCAAAAAAGUGUCAAUUCAGUUAAUGAAACUGAACAGAAUAAUGAGGAAAACGAGAAACAUUCUGGAAAGAAAGAAGUAUCCCGGCAAUAAGAGGUCUUUUUUGUCUCAUCUUUGCUUUCCAAAUUCUUAUAAGUAUGCCUAUGACUAUUUUUAAAAAUUAUCUUAUGUAGUUAUCUCCUGAAUGUGCUGCUUUGGACAUUACUGUGCCACUGUUGAUCUUGAAAUCCUGAACCUUGGUUUUAAAUUUUUUUCAAUAUUGUACUUUACUAGAAUGGAUCUAUGCCUUUUAUGAUGCAGUUUUGCAUAAAGAGCAUGGUAUACAUAUUUCUGGAAGCAAUGUUCCACCAAGUUUUGAGCUCAGUACUAGGUGAAGCUUUAAUUUGCAACGUUUAAAAGAAAUGCUUGUUACAUGUGGCAUCAUUCACCCUCCCCAAAUCGUGAUCAUAACUUCUAUAAGUGGGAUAUACUAGAUAUAUAGAUUUGUGCAAUUUGUUGGUACACCGGUCUGGAGAUGGUCAACAAAUUGGAUACAGAGAUGUCUCAGUUAGAAGCUACUCGGAGAAUCUACUCACAGGUGUUAACUCCACUCUCAUUGCACCAUUCAUUGAGACUUAGUUAUUUGAAAUUUAAUGUACUGAGUUAUCAAAGCUUACUUUUCAAGGAGAUGGCUAUUAUCAGUCCAAUGCAUCAGGUAUGCUCUUUAAUAGUUAUUCUUGUGUAAUGUUACAGAUAUGAGUGAACACUGUGCAACUUGAUACGUUAAACAAACCAGGCAGAAAUUGUAGUUAAAUUUUUUUUUCCAAAUUACAACAAACCUCUCAACGCCUAAAACUGGACCAAACUAUUUUAAAACAAUUUCAUUUGGUGGUUUUACUAUUUUUUACUUUUUCAUUAUCGUACCAUUUAGAUACAUACAAAUAUUAGCAAAACUAAUUUUCAAACCUAAAUACUGAUUCUCCAACCAAUCUUGGAACAUUUUUGGCUUAGAUACUUUGGUACAAAUUAAAUAAGGUUACAAACAUUUAUAAUUGCGGUUUAGAAUCAAAUAUUAAAAAAAUGCCAAAUUUAAAAUAUUGAACCAUAUCACAAACCAAGAUUUAAAAAUCGAACUGCUUUCUUUUUUUAAUCGCAAAUCGGAUAUAACCCCUAAAUUGUAGUUUAGUAUGAUUUGGUUUGUUGUUUAGUUUAAAACUGUAUGCAACCCCAUACUUUGGAGAGUAAAGCAAAAUGAUAGGAUUUUGUCGUCACAACGUUUGUUCCUGUCGUGGUGUUUAAGUUUCUAUGUAUAUAUGACAUCAAGUAUAUAUUUAUCGACACUUGCAAUAUAUGUUGUGGUUAUAUUAUUAGCUAUAACAAUUGUUAGAAAAUAUAGCUUUUCUGUUUAAAUUAGUUUCAGCUUGUUUCUGCAAGUACCUUUGUGAAUUAUUGUCUGUUGGGAUUUCUUAGACUACAGGGAUACAUUGGCUGAACGGAUGGCUUGGUCGAUAAUGGAUUGCGUUGUUUGACGAUGACUUAGGCUGUUUAUAAGAGAGUUGUGCUGCUGCAACGUUACAGAAUACUGUGUAGAAUCGCUUGAUUGCACGCUCUGCCCAUCCUCUCUGUUCUCAUUGUUUCAACCCUAUUCGACAAUUUGCGAUUCACUAUAUUUAUUGGCUUCUUAAUUGACUGUAUGCACCAUUAUCUUCACAAGCUCAUCAACAUUAGAAGCAAGAUUAGAGAGUAGCUUGGUAAAGAAGCCAAAAGAGUCGGUUAGGGAAGGGAUUCAAGGGGUAGAGAUAUUGAUUACCCCUUGUUCAUACUUGUUACUAAUAAAUUUCUAUCAUUUGCCACUCUAGUCUUUUUGAGGAAUUCCCAUGCAAUGCAAGGUUCAUCUUCUUUAAUCGAUUAGCUGUUGUUAAAUUUUAAUCUUUGUACAUUUCUUGUUCUUUAAACGCUUUGAUUAAUGGUAAUGUCUUGCACAUGUUUGAUUCAAGUGAAAAUUUGAUUGCAUACAAUUUUGUUGGUCAAUAAUUUUAAAAUAAAUGUCGAAUAGCAUUUGAAUGUUGUAAGACUAAGAUCUUCUUGCUGGGAGCAACUUGCGUCGUAUAUGUUUUUUUGUUGUAUAUGGUCAAUUUGUUCGUUCGUGUGUGUCGCUGUAAUCUCAUAUUUGGCAUUUUCAGUGACAUUGCUCAACUCAAUUCAACCACAUAUCAACAAAUGCAAGACAAUUCAGCUAAUAAGAUUUUAUCAUACUCUCUUCGUACUACAAAAUUGAGAUUGAGUAUUUUCAUUUGUAUUAUUGUUAAUAGAAAUAUAUAAAAUAGCAUUUAUAAAUUCGAUACUCUAACUUGGGGGACCAUGUGCAUAGCACGCGGCCCCAUAACUAGUAAUAACAAACAAACUAUACACAAAUUCUUGUAUGGGACGGUCUCACCGUGAGACGUGUCUCAUACUUGGGUUAAAUAGCCCAAUAAUAAAAAUUUUUAGCAUAAUGGGUCUUAGUAUGGAGUCGUCUCACGAUGAGACGGUCUCAUACAAGAGGGAUUGGUUAUUUUUUGUCCUUAUAAAAAUUAUAAUAUUGUCUUUCAUUUGUUCAUUGUAAGUAACAGUGAACAAAGUUUUGGUAAAUUUUUUUUCUCUUGUUCGUUAUUGCCUUGUUGGUAACAUCGAACAAACAUAAAC
Molecule: long non-coding RNA, 3222 nt
Organism: Amaranthus tricolor (Joseph's coat)
Lineage: Eukaryota; Viridiplantae; Streptophyta; Magnoliopsida; Caryophyllales; Amaranthaceae
Exons: 5
Source: RefSeq, a predicted model, not a curated record